Molecule: unclassified non-coding RNA, 349 nt
Filed under: Hevea brasiliensis (rubber tree)
Lineage: Eukaryota; Viridiplantae; Streptophyta; Magnoliopsida; Malpighiales; Euphorbiaceae
Source: RNAcentral
GAAAUGUUUCCGGACCACCUUCGGUAGAUACUAGCUCUGGUAUCGAGAGCUCUGCCUCAAAGCUUUGAAGCUGACUGCCAAAGAAGUUCCUAUGAACAGUACAAUCCAGGCCUCCAACAAGUCCUUGUCCACCAGUUUUCUGUCCAAUAGCCUUGUUUGCCAAAAAGAUGAGCCCUGCACAGGUGCCCCAGACAGGCUUCCCCAUUCUAACGAACUCUCGCAAAGCAGGAAACAAAUUAUGGAGCUCCGCUAGUUUAGCCAUGGUGGUGCUUUCCCCGCCAGGAAUAAUGAGAGAAGCUACAUUAAGAAGCUGCUCAGGCUUCCUUAUCUCUACGCCCUUCACUCCGAC